GCGCGCGCCGGCGGCUGCGCAGUGUGGGCACAUCCGGGCACUGGGGCAGGAUGAGCGCUCCUUUCCAAGAUGGCGGCGGAGGGAGGAGGGAAGGAGAUGAACGAGAUUAAGACCCAGUUCACCACCCGGGAGGGGCUGUACAAGCUGCUGAGCCACUCGGAGUACAGCCGGCCCAACCGCGUGCCCUUCAACUCGCAGGGCUCCAACCCCGUCCGUGUCUCCUUCGUCAACGUCAACGACCAGAGCGGCAACGGGGACCGGCUCUGCUUCAAUGUGGGCCGAGAGCUCUACUUCUACAUCUACAAGGGGGUCCGCAAGGCUGCGGACUUGAGUAAACCAAUAGACAAAAGGAUAUACAAAGGAACACAGCCUACAUGCCAUGACUUCAAUCACUUAACAGCCACAGCAGAAAGUGUGUCUCUUCUAGUGGGCUUCUCCGCAGGCCAGGUCCAGCUUAUAGACCCCAUUAAAAAAGAAACUAGCAAAUUAUUUAAUGAGGAAAGACUAAUAGACAAGUCCAGAGUAACCUGUGUAAAAUGGGUACCGGGUUCGGAAAGCCUUUUCCUAGUAGCUCAUUCCAGUGGCAAUAUGUACUUGUAUAACGUGGAGCACACUUGUGGUACCACAGCCCCGCACUACCAGCUACUUAAACAAGGAGAGAGUUUUGCAGUGCACACUUGCAAGAGUAAAUCCACAAGAAACCCUCUGCUUAAAUGGACAGUAGGUGAGGGUGCCCUGAAUGAAUUUGCCUUUUCCCCUGAUGGGAAGUUCUUGGCGUGCGUGAGCCAGGAUGGUUUUCUUCGCGUGUUUAACUUUGAUUCGGUGGAAUUGCAUGGUACAAUGAAAAGCUACUUUGGAGGACUGCUGUGUGUGUGUUGGAGUCCCGAUGGGAAGUACAUAGUGACAGGCGGAGAGGAUGACUUGGUGACAGUUUGGUCUUUCGUGGACUGUCGAGUCAUAGCGAGAGGCCACGGACACAAAUCAUGGGUCAGUGUCGUUGCGUUCGAUCCCUAUACCACUAGUGUAGAAGAGAGUGACCCGAUGGAAUUUAGCGGAAGUGAUGAGGAUUUCCAAGACCUUCAUUUUGGCAGAGAUCGAGCCAAUAGCACGCAAUCUAGAUUAUCCAAAAGGAACUCUACAGACAGUCGUCCAGUAAGUGUUACAUAUAGAUUUGGUUCAGUAGGCCAGGACACACAGCUCUGUUUGUGGGAUCUUACAGAAGAUAUCCUCUUCCCCCACCAACCUCUCUCAAGAGCAAGGACACAUACAAAUGUCAUGAAUGCCACAAGUCCACCUGCAGGAAGUGGUGGAACUAACCCGGGAAGUAAUGGAAACAGUAUCACAACACCUGGAAACUCUGUACCCCCUCCUCUUCCACGAUCAAACAGCCUUCCACACUCUGCAGUCUCAAAUGCUGGCAGUAAAAGCAGUGUCAUGGAUGGUGCCAUUGCUUCUGGCGUUAGUAAAUUUGCAACCUUAUCGCUACAUGAUCGGAAGGAAAGACACCAUGAAAAAGAUCACAAGAGAAACCAUAGCAUGGGACAUAUAUCUAGCAAGAGCAGUGACAAACUGAACCUAGUUACUAAAACCAAAACGGACCCAGCUAAAACUUUGGGAACACCUCUCUGUCCCCGAAUGGAAGAUGUUCCCUUGUUAGAGCCUCUUAUCUGUAAAAAGAUAGCACAUGAAAGACUGACUGUGUUAAUUUUUCUUGAAGACUGUAUAGUCACUGCUUGUCAGGAGGGAUUUAUUUGCACAUGGGCAAGGCCUGGUAAAGUGGUAAGUUUUAAUCCUUAAUGCUGCAUCAAAGAACUAGAACUCUGAAUAGAUAGUUUUCUUGAAAUAUAAAUGAAUGUUGAAUAUAAAAUUUCUUUAUGCUUAAUGUAAAAAAAAAUAUCCUCAGAGCCAUACUUUUGGAUACUGCAUGCCAUAUUUCUGAAUGAUUUGAAGUGUCUUGGAUACAAUUAUUAAGUAUAGUUGCCUUCCAGCAGAAGAAAUAAAUACUGUGCAUCUAAACUAUUGAUCAGUGUUCUUAUACUUAAGCAUAACCACAAUAUGGUGAAAGCUGUUUAUGUAAAAAUUGAAGUAAAACCUGUCAAACACUAAAAUAAUUAUAAUCCUUCUAACUUUUUCUACAAAAUACAGCACUCCCAAUGAGAGUAGCUUAUGAAAAGCUGCUGCUUUUAAGUCUAAUGAGAAAUGUGAGCCUCUGAAAAAAUUAAAGCCAAAGUGUUUUAUUCCUCCAUACUUUUCUGUGUGGCCUGCCAUUAAUGUGAAACCACUUCUUAUUCAAACAUCAGGCAUUUUAUGCACAGAUUUGUGAGCCCUGUACUGACUGUAGCUUAUGCUCUUGAAAUUGUGAAUCAGUAUUAUCAAGAAACUCUAAUUUUAGCCAGGUAUUGAUUUAUGUAUUUAAGUUAGAUAAAAUCCUGCAGGCUUUCCCUGAGUAGUUUCAGUGUUCUGUUCCUGUCAGGUUUUAGGCAAUUUGAUCAUCGACAAGCUCGUGCUUUUGAUGGCACCUGUUCCAUCAACUGAACCUACAUUAAAAUCUAUUACUAGUUCUAACUCUUGUUGUUAAUGCACUUGAACACCUAUAAAACUUUAUUUUUCCUUCUGUCCAAUGUAUAGCAAGCUAAAUUUUUAAUGAAGCUAAAUGUGGUGAUUCUUUUGUUAAAAAGUACUUUGUGCUACAGUAGCUCUGUCUGCCAGCAACAGUUCAAAGGAAUACAACUAUGAAAACAUUACCAGAGUUGGUCUGGCAAAAAGGACCAUUAUUUUGGUGAAAAUUUCUGAAAGGGGAUGUAGAUUAUCACCUGAAAUAAAAGAGAUUACCUGGUAAUACCUGAAUAUUGCCACGUUGGGCAACCUAAAUGAAACUCUGUUGUUCGUUAGGUUUUAACCACUUGGUUCAUAAAUCUGACUUUUGAAGUGGAGGUACUGUAUAUAUUUAGAUACCACAUCUUCAUUGCUAUAAACUUUCAAGUAAAACUCAAUUUUUCUUAGAACUGUUUGUAUAAUGUAGGUUUCUUUGAGAUGUUAUCAAAUUUGUCACAACAUAGGUGUAUGCAUAGAGAGCUGUGUCUGCUCUUCAUCUUAAUGCAUAUUUAAAGGUUGAAUCUAAAACUAAAAGUUGUAAACCCUUCUCUGGGGAGAAGGGAGGAGGGUGUUACCUAAAAGUAUUUUUUUUGUCUCAGAACUAGAGAUUCAGCAUUAAUGAAGGGGGAAAAAAAAAAAGAGCAUCCCCUCAGAAUACUAAACUGUUUAAAACAUUUGUCCUAAAUGAAAAUACUAAAGCAGUUAUACUUUUGUGACUCAGUGCACUUCACAUCUUAUGAAUUAACUUUAGAUGCUUACAGCAGUGCCUCAGAUUGCUAUUGUGAGCUAUAUUUUCUUUUGGUUCUAAAACUCCUUUACAUACUACUAAACACUACAUUGUUACAUUUAUUUUCAGUGGCUGAGGUGGGUUUUGUUAGACUGAGUAUAACUUAAAUAUUUUUGUGUAUUGACUUUGAUUUGGAAUAUGACAUUUCAAAUAUUUCAGAGAUAAAGUAUGCAGUACCAAAAAUCAGGAUUUAUGUAUUGGCCAAUAUGGAAAACUUUAAUUACAGGGUACUUGAAAGUUGCUUAGUGGAUGUAAUCUUCUGGCAAGAAAGACCUUCCAGUUGCUGCUGGAUUUAAUAGACUUGUGAAGAAUGCUUCAGUAAUGAACUAGAGAGUUCUGAUUCAUCCUCAUCACUUUCCAACAAAACUUCCUUGGUAAAAAAUUUCAUAAGUGCUUCAGUGGCUUGUUUGCUCUAAAGUUCUGCCUUCUUUCACCAUCUAGUCCUUAACUAAUAACUAGGAAGCUUCUUGUUCUCAUUAAAUAUGCAGUAUCUUUGCACAGCCUGAAUGUCAAGUGCAAAAAACAACCCACUUCAGUCUACCUCAACAGUGUGAGAAUAACAAAACCCCUGCAUAAACCUGAGUACAAAUAAAAAUAAGUGUCCAAGUUCCUUCAGGUGAGAUCUAUGGAGGGCACCAAAUUAAGUGCCACAUCCUUUAUUAUAAAUACAUGUUUAUUAUAAAUAUGGAAUGUAUGCACAUGUACACAGAUCCAGAGUCUGCUAUAAAUCCAGCAAACUAUCCAGGUUCAUAAUGUGUCUGAACUGGUAGAUCAGAUGGUUUUUUAAAAGGAAGGGCUUUGGUUUUAGUAGAAACUUGAUGACUUGAAUCCAGCCAGUCUGGCCCUCUUUCCACCUCUUCCAUCAGUCAUGGCCUCUCAUUUCUUGGAUUCAAGCAUGAAAGAGCUCCUGUAGAUUCUGAAGAUGGGACAUAAUUCUAACUUGUAUGCUAAUUGCUGCCUGAGCUUGUCUAGUUUGAUGGAUCUGAGUCCCGGGAUCCUAAUUUUGAGGGUUUAUUGUCAUCCCAAAACCAGGCCAAUUCUCCAAGUGGAACUGUAGUAUAGCCAUCACACUACUGCUAGCAAAUCUCUGAACGCAGGACAAGAAGUAAUGACAGUGGAACCAGGAGCUGUUCUUCAGGCAAAGAGCAUCACAAAUUUUAAUGUGGCAGAGUGUAAACAUGGAAUUAUGUGAAUCACAUAGUGACUUGCAAAGGACAAAUGCAAUGGGUUCUCACUACAGCCGAUCCUGGUAGGCUGCUCACCCAAGGAAGAGUUUGCAUUGGAGAAAAAGCAAAAAGCUUCCUUUGGUGCUGCAGGAAAAAGUAGUAACAUAUUUGGUUUUCUUUAUACUUUUCAAGUCCAGUGUAAUUUAAUCUCUCUAUAUAAAUAUAUAAAUAAAAGAUAUAUAUAUAUAUAUAUAUAUAGUGUAAAAUAAGAUAUGUUUCUUAAAUUCAAGUAAGUUCAAUGGUUAAACUAGUACUUCACCAUUGUUUAUUUUGCACUGAUUUUUUUAACCAGAGAUGGCUAGAAGACAGCCUGGAAUGCACUCAUGGAAAAUGAAAGUCAUUACUUUCUGGCUUCAAAAUGUUAUUCAGGAAGAUGGAUGCUGCAAUCAUAGAUUUUUUUAAAACAAAAUUGUUUUGCACUUAAAUAGUUUAAUGCUAAUAGAGAAUUACUUUAAAAUUGGUGUUCAGACACCAGAAAAACUAUGUUGUGGAGAAAAGAUCCUUUGUAUCUAUUAAACAUUUAUUUUAAUAUUGUUGGUUUCAACGGCAAUCGGCUCUGUAUUAUAUGUAUAAAUAAUGUAAUUCAGUGAUGGGGGAGGGGAGUAACGGAUCAUUACACUAGAGAUUCUCAUUCAUUUAAGAAAGUGAUAUUUCUAAUUCAGAAAAUACAUAUUAAACUAUCUUGAAUAUGCAUUUUUGUUUACUUUCUGUUCAAAUUCGAUCACUUUUGAUGUAACCAAUCCUUUGUUGAAUUAAAUGUUUGGUACAGAAAUACUAA
This is an RNA transcript of Chiroxiphia lanceolata (lance-tailed manakin), 5386 nucleotides long. It is a transcript of the gene named WD repeat domain 20, with no coding region annotated. The transcript is spliced from 5 exons. Lineage: Eukaryota; Metazoa; Chordata; Aves; Passeriformes; Pipridae. The record is from RefSeq and is a predicted model, not a curated record.